GAUGAACGCUGGCGGCGUGCUUAACACAUGCAAGUCGAACGAUGAAGCCCAGCUUGCCGGGUGGAUUAGUGGCGAACGGGUGAGUAACACGUGAGUAACCUGCCCUUAACUCUGGGAUAAGCCUGGGAAACUGGGUCUAAUACCGGAUAGGAGCGUCCACCGCAUGGUGGGUGUUGGAAAGAUUUAUCGGUUUUGGAUGGACUCGCGGCCUAUCAGCUUGUUGGUGAGGUAAUGGCUCACCAAGGCGACGACGGGUAGCCGGCCUGAGAGGGUGACCGGCCACACUGGGACCGAGACACGGCCCAGACUCCUACGGGAGGCAGCAGUGGGGAAUAUUGCACAAUGGGCGCAAGCCUGAUGCAGCGACGCCGCGUGAGGGAUGACGGCCUUCGGGUUGUAAACCUCUUUCAGUAGGGAAGAAGCGAAAGUGACGGUACCUGCAGAAGAAGCACCGGCUAACUACGUG
RNAcentral lists this ribosomal RNA (466 nucleotides) under uncultured bacterium. Its description in RNAcentral is "partial 16S ribosomal RNA". It matches the Rfam family "Bacterial small subunit ribosomal RNA", at positions 28 to 507 of the family's 1533-position model. The record is from RNAcentral.